AGCCAUAAUUGUCCCGGGAAAUCAAAACCCGGCCCCUCCUAAAUCCGCAACUUCUCCGGAUUCCAAUCCGUUUAUACUCGUUCACUCUUGAUCCAAACAACGAGGCUUCUUCAACAAUGAUAUCGUGAAUCAGGUAACAAUAAUGUAUACAUAUGAAGUUAAAUUGCUUGAAAUUUUUUUAUUUUUUUUAGUCCACUUGUUACUCUAUCUGUUUAAUUGAUAUUUGUUUUAGGUAUUUGAUUGCAGCAAAUUAAUUGGGUGUUAAUAUAUCUGUAUUUCUAUUACUUUCUGAUGACUGUUUUUUGAUAUCACAGUUUUUAGAGUCAUCGAUUUUUAUGAAGAUAAAGCAUUUUCAUGGAUGAAUAUACUGGAGACUAAGUAUUAGUUUAAUCAAAUAGAGCUGACUUUAUUGGAUAAUUUUUUAAUAAGAGUUGUCAGAUCAAAUUCCUAAAGCUGGCAUUGUUGAUUUACUGACCACCCAUAGAUUUUUCUUCAAAGUUUGCUAUGAAAUUAUUAGGAAAAUAAUGAUCAGAUCAAUUGGAUUACAUUGUCCUGGAUAUAUGCUGGUUUAUUUGAGCACGCUUUUAAACUAAACAUGGAAUAGAAAUUGACAUUCUCAAUGUAUGUCAAGCGGAAGCAUUGGCUAGAUAAUAUGUGCUCGGGUGUGUGUGGUGGUGGUUUUGGGGGGUACUGCAGGGCUUGCAUAAGGAAUACUCAUUCCAUAGCGUAACAAAAUUGAGGAUAUACAUAAGGGAGGGGUUUCAAACUAAAAUGAAUUAUUUUGCUGCUUUCUUUCAACACUUGUUCUUUUGAGCAAAAUCUUCAAGGUUAAUGGAAUACUUCAUUUAGUAGUGUGAUUUCUUGAAGUUCCUGGCCAACCAACACACUGGUGAUCAUUUUAUUUCUUUAAAAAAGUUAGUUUGCUGGUGUUACUAGUAUUUUAUAGUUAUCUUUUCCUUCCAACCUGAUAAUUCUAAUAUGGAGCAGUACAAGACAUGACAGACUUGGAGAUAAUUUUAUUCGAUGAUAAAUACCGCAAUGGAAUUGUACAUCCACAAUAGCCCUAUGAAGACAUGACCCCAAGCUGAUACUUGAUAGGAAUAUUGUUAAAUACUUGAUGCUUGUUCCAAAUUCGAAGUGCCAUUUAUACAAAUAAGAAUCCUAUAAUAAGGAAAAUUUCGUUAGGGGACUGGAGCAGGCCACCUCUUUUGUGAUUCAGUUAUGACAUUGUUCUAUUAUGUUGAAUGACUUAGUUUCUACUUACACAUAAAAAAGUGAAAGAUUGACCGGAUAAUCUGUGUGUGGGGGGAUGAGGUGCUUCGAUUAGGAAUAUCCAUACAACAAAAGUACAGAUAUACACAGAAGUGAGGGGUUUCAAACUAACAUGAAUAGUUUGCUGCUUUCUUCCCAAAACUCAUUCUUUUGAGCAAAAUCUUUGAGGUUAAUGGAAUACUUCAUUUAGUAGUGUGAUUUCUUGCAGUUUCUGGCUAACAAACACAGUGGUGAUCAUGUUAUUUCCCAAGAAAAUGUAGUUUGUUGUUGUAAUUAUUAGUAUUUUAUAUUUUUCUUUUCCUUCCAAUUCGAUAAUUCUGAUCUAGAGCAGUAUUGAAACUGACUUGACUUCAGGAUAAAAUAUAUAUAAUGAUAUAUACCACAAUGAUUGUACAUCCAUGAUAGCCCUAAGAAGACGUGAUCCCAAACUGAUACUUGAUUAAAUAUCGUCAAUUUUUUAAUGCUCGCUCCAAAUUCAGAAUGCCAUUUAUACAAAUAAAAAUCCCAUAAUAACGAGAGUUUUGUUAAGGGACUGGAGCAGGCUACUUCUUUUGUGCUUCAAUUAUGACAUGACAUUUCCGUUAUAUUCAGUAACUUGAUUCCUUCUUAUGCAUAGCAAGUCUAAUAGUUAAAUUGUGGGCUUAUAUUGGUGUUAUUGACCUUGAUUAUAUGUGUAUCACUUUUCAUUCUGGGCAUCUCUUGAGUUAUGCUAGUGUUAGACUAAUUAUUGUUAUAUAGUUUGGAUUAUGACUAGACAACGAAAUUAAAUAGGGGGCCCCUUAAUUUCUAUCCGUCGCUCAUUAGCUUGUUUUGUCUUCUUUGGUUUCCUUUAUGGUGUAAUCUGUAAUAUUAGUUUAGAAAUCGAGAGAAAAUAUUCUUGGAAGAAUUAAUUUAUCAAUCUGGAAAAGGCAAAUGAUAGCUACAAUCCCUUGAGAUUUUGGGGAUUCUUUACAUUGUGGUUUCAUGCCAUGAAAAUCUUGAUAGAUCUCUAAUAAUACAUACCAUCCACAGAAGUAUCAAUCACUAAAAUCCCAGUUCCAGUGAGGAUUCAGAAGAAAUUCAAUAUCACACCCAUUUCUUCAGGUCCUAAUUAGAGAAUUAAAUUCGGGACGGUAACCCACCAUAAAUGCUGAAAUUAUUUUUUGUUCACUCCUCAAUUGGACCACAAAAAAUUUAUUACAUUUCAAGGAGAAAACUAUUCAUUGAUUAAGUUUGUUUCUAGAUUCAUAUGUGCCUCUUACUGCAUUAAUAUCCUGUUUUGCUAUAGUUAUAAUACAGAACAACAUUAUCUGAGUAAUGAACGCCAAGAAACUGCAUGCUACAUUAGAAUUAACUGAAUUUUUUUUCUGAAGGAACUGCAACUGAAAACUUUUAUUCCUCUUUCAGGAAUAGUUUAGUUGCAAGGAGUGCGGCGGGAGCGUUUGUGGAAAAGUCGAGUGCUCCGGUUGUAAGGGCUGAGUUCAUAAUUCCUUGUGGCAACGGCAAAGAGAAGGUUCAUAUAUAAUGGGAGCUUUUCAUUAGUCAUAAAUCAUAAUAAUUGGGAGUCAAAUAACGUUAUAGACUAAAUGAAGGAGAUUUUACUGAAUACGUGUAAAAAAUU
This 2872-nucleotide long non-coding RNA is filed under the name Olea europaea subsp. europaea. The record is from RNAcentral. Lineage: Eukaryota; Viridiplantae; Streptophyta; Magnoliopsida; Lamiales; Oleaceae.